RNAcentral lists this ribosomal RNA (301 nucleotides) under uncultured bacterium. RNAcentral describes it as "partial 16S ribosomal RNA". It matches the Rfam family "Bacterial small subunit ribosomal RNA", at positions 509 to 807 of the family's 1533-position model. The record is from RNAcentral.
CAGCAGCCGCGGGAAAACGGAGGGGGCUAGCGUUGUUCGGAAUUACUGGGCGUAAAGCGCACGUAGGCGGCUUGGUAAGUUAGAGGUGAAAGCCUGGAGCUCAACUCCAGAAUUGCCUUUAAGACUGCCGAGCUAGCAGGUGAGAGAGGUAAGUGGAAUUCCGAGUGUAGAGGUGAAAUUCGUAGAUAUUCGGAAGAACACCAGUGGCGAAGGCGGCUUACUGGCUCAUACUGGACGCUGAGGUGCGAAAGCGUGGGGAGCAAACAGGAUUAGAUACCCCAGUAGUCCCUGUCUCUUAUAC